RNAcentral lists this ribosomal RNA (265 nucleotides) under uncultured bacterium. RNAcentral's name for it is "partial 16S ribosomal RNA". It matches the Rfam family "Bacterial small subunit ribosomal RNA", at positions 89 to 354 of the family's 1533-position model. The record is from RNAcentral.
UACUUAGUGGCGGACGGGUGAGUAACGCGUGGGUAACCUGCCUUACACUGGGGGAUAACACUUAGAAAUAGGUGCUAAUACCGCAUAAGCGCACGAAGCCGCAUGGAUUUGUGUGAAAAACUCCGGUGGUGUAAGAUGGACCCGCGUCUGAUUAGCUUGUUGGCGGGGUAACGGCCCACCAAGGCGACGAUCAGUAGCCGGCCUGAGAGGGUGGACGGCCACAUUGGGACUGAGACACGGCCCAGACUCCUACGGAAGGCAGCAG